RNAcentral lists this long non-coding RNA (222 nucleotides) under Parus major (Great Tit). RNAcentral describes it as "lncRNA (ENSPMJG00000012700.1)". The record is from RNAcentral. Lineage: Eukaryota; Metazoa; Chordata; Aves; Passeriformes; Paridae.
AAAGAAUUGAUGAUUAAUCAUAUGAGAGCUGUUGAUGCCACCCUGAAUGCGAUCAGAGAUCAGGCCGUGGCAUCAGGUGCUGCAGCAGCUGCGCUACUCCCCAGCCUGAAGCUUGAGACCCUUUCAGAGGAAGCAAUGAGCAACAGACCAGAGGCUACAGCAUUCCAAAAUGUGCUCAUAAGUUUUAUGGAGCUCUACUCACUGGCAUCUGCCAGAAUUGAA